UACAGAGGGUGCGAGCGUUGUCCGGAAUCACUGGGCGUAAAGGGCGCGUAGGCGGCCUGGUAAGCGUGCGGUGAAAGCCCGGGGCUCAACCCCGGGUCGGCCGUGCGAACUGCGAGGCUGGAGCACUGUAGAGGCAGGUGGAAUUCCGGGUGUAGCGGCGGAAUGCGUAGAGAUCCGGAAGAACACCGGUGGCGAAGGCGGC
This 202-nucleotide ribosomal RNA is filed under the name uncultured bacterium. RNAcentral describes it as "partial 16S ribosomal RNA". It matches the Rfam family "Bacterial small subunit ribosomal RNA", at positions 524 to 725 of the family's 1533-position model. The record is from RNAcentral.